GAUGAACGCUGGCGGCGUGCCUAAUACAUGCAAGUCGAGCGAACAGACGAGGAGCUUGCUCCUUUGACGUUAGCGGCGGACGGGUGAGUAACACGUGGAUAACCUACCUAUAAGACUGGGAUAACUUCGGGAAACCGGAGCUAAUACCGGAUAACAUGUUGAACCGCAUGGUUCAACAGUGAAAGACGGUUUUGCUGUCACUUAUAGAUGGAUCCGCGCCGCAUUAGCUAGUUGGUAAGGUAACGGCUUACCAAGGCAACGAUGCGUAGCCGACCUGAGAGGGUGAUCGGCCACACUGGAACUGAGACACGGUCCAGACGCCUACGGGAGGCAGCAGUAGGGAAUCUUCCGCAAUGGGCGAAAGCCUGACGGAGCAACGCCGCGUGAGUGAAGAAGGUCUUCGGAUCGUAAAACUCUGUUAUUAGGGAAGAACAAAUGUGUAAGUAACUAUGCACGUCUUGACGGUACCUAAUCAGAAAGCCACGGCUAACUACGUG
This 497-nucleotide ribosomal RNA is filed under the name uncultured bacterium. Its description in RNAcentral is "partial 16S ribosomal RNA". It matches the Rfam family "Bacterial small subunit ribosomal RNA", at positions 28 to 507 of the family's 1533-position model. The record is from RNAcentral.